This 148-nucleotide non-coding RNA is filed under the name Nomascus leucogenys (northern white-cheeked gibbon). The record is from Rfam by way of RNAcentral. Lineage: Eukaryota; Metazoa; Chordata; Mammalia; Primates; Hylobatidae.
GCCGGGCGUGGUGGCGGGUGCCUGUAGUCCCAGCUACUUGGGAGGCUGAGGCAGGAGAAUGGCAUGAACCCAGGAGGUGGAGCUUGCAGUGAGCUGAGAUCGUGCCACUGCACUCCAGCCUGGGUGACAAAGCAAGAUUCUGUCUCAA